RNAcentral lists this long non-coding RNA (674 nucleotides) under Meriones unguiculatus (Mongolian gerbil). RNAcentral describes it as "lncRNA (ENSMUGG00000003473.1)". The record is from RNAcentral. Lineage: Eukaryota; Metazoa; Chordata; Mammalia; Rodentia; Muridae.
AUUUUCUUUUCUUUCUUUUUUGUGCCACAGUCCAGCUACAUGUCCCAGACUCUCCUGGAGCUGGUGACUCUCCUGCCUCGACCUUUCAAGCGCUGCUGGGAUUACAGGCGUGCCAGCACAUCGGUUGCGUCCAGUUCCUGCUGGCACUGGGAGCUGCUCCCUAGGCAUGGUGCUUGGCCUCUGGCUUCUGGGCCUAGCGUUUGGCCUCCGAGGUCCCAGAAGCAACGGAGCUCACGGUGCUCCUCCUGGCUCUUGGCCUCUGUAACCAUUGUCGAUUACGAUGAGCCAAAGCUUCCUGGAGGAGAUGCUGCUCCAAGGUGAUCCUGGAACAGGUGCUGUAAGACAAAGCCAACAGAAGCCGAAUUCCUGAUGGACCUGAGCGCCUGUCUUGUCUCUCCUGUUGCCGUGCAGAAUGGCAGGAGCGAUUCCGCAGAGCACCCACGAAGACAUCUACGAGUUUUACGCAGGCAGUGCUAAUCUGCCAGGCUGCAUUUCUUCUUAAUUCACGUGACUUUGGCUGGUCUCUUUCUGUCUUUGUCUCUGUCUCUCUGUCUCUGUGUCUGUAUGCAUGAAUUCGCAUGUGGGAAUGUUGUUUAUUUCACUGGCAUCUUGAUUCUUUUAAAGUUUCUGUGACCUUUUCCCAAACAAAGGAUUUGAAGCCUUGUUGUAUUUAU